RNAcentral lists this long non-coding RNA (343 nucleotides) under Zalophus californianus (California sea lion). RNAcentral describes it as "lncRNA (ENSZCAG00015009560.1)". The record is from RNAcentral. Lineage: Eukaryota; Metazoa; Chordata; Mammalia; Carnivora; Otariidae.
GUGGCCCGGUGCCAGGAAUGUUAUGGCCGAUCUUGCCUCUCGUGGGGAUAAAACACAGAGAAGUCAUUUCUCAGGAAACUAGCCUGUGGCAAAGCCUGGGUGAGGCAGGAGAUACUCGAGGUAUCACGGCCACACGAUGAGCAUCGCACCGGGCAGGUCCCACGUGUCUGUGGCCACUUUCAGAGACAAGAGUGUCCAGUCUCCUGGGCCAUCUGAUAAAUGUUUGGAACAAAAUUUCCCUUUGCAGCCAGGUGCACUGCUGUCCUGCUCACAACCUGUAGUUUUGCUGGGAGCUUGAAGAAUGUCUCAGAGGUGGUACAACUCAACUGAUGCAAUUUCGGCC